GACGAACGCUGGCGGCGUGCUUAACACAUGCAAGUCGAACGGAAAGGCCCUGCUUUUGUGGGGUGCUCGAGUGGCGAACGGGUGAGUAACACGUGAGUAACCUGCCCUUGACUUUGGGAUAACUUCAGGAAACUGGGGCUAAUACCGGAUAGGAGCUCCUGCUGCAUGGUGGGGGUUGGAAAGUUUCGGCGGUUGGGGAUGGACUCGCGGCUUAUCAGCUUGUUGGUGGGGUAGUGGCUUACCAAGGCUUUGACGGGUAGCCGGCCUGAGAGGGUGACCGGCCACAUUGGGACUGAGAUUCGGCCCAGACUCCUACGGGAGGCAGUAGUGGGGAAUAAUGCGCAAUGGGCGGAAACCUAAUGCAGCAACGCCGCGUGCGGGAUGACGGCCUUCGGGUUGUAAACCGCUUUCGCCUGUGACGAAGCGUAAGUGACGGUAAUGGGUAAAGAAGCGCCGGCUAACUACGUG
This 468-nucleotide ribosomal RNA is filed under the name uncultured bacterium. Its description in RNAcentral is "partial 16S ribosomal RNA". It matches the Rfam family "Bacterial small subunit ribosomal RNA", at positions 28 to 507 of the family's 1533-position model. The record is from RNAcentral.